RNAcentral lists this ribosomal RNA (253 nucleotides) under uncultured bacterium. RNAcentral describes it as "partial 16S ribosomal RNA". It matches the Rfam family "Bacterial small subunit ribosomal RNA", at positions 524 to 776 of the family's 1533-position model. The record is from RNAcentral.
UACGUAGGGGGCAAGCGUUGUCCGGAAUCAUUGGGCGUAAAGAGCGCGCAGGCGGCUUGGCAAGUCGGGUGUGAAAUCCCGGGGCUCAACCCCGGGACUGCAUUCGAUACUGUCAGGCUAGAGGUAGGUAGGGGAGAUCGGAAUUCCUGGUGUAGCGGUGAAAUGCGCAGAUAUCAGGAGGAACACCGGUGGCGAAGGCGGAUCUCUGGGCCUUACCUGACGCUCAGGCGCGAAAGCUAGGGGAGCGAACAGG